UACGGAGGGUGCGAGCGUUGUCCGGAAUCAUUGGGCGUAAAGGGCGCGUAGGUGGCCACUUCAAGCGUGCGGUGAAAGUCGGGGGCUCAACCCCUGAUCGGCCGUGCGAACUGGGGGGCUGGAGCACUGUAGAGGCAGGCGGAAUUCCGGGUGUGAGCGGUGGAAUGCGUAGAGAGUCCGGAAGAACACCGGUGGCGAAGGCGGCCUGCUGGGCAGUAGCUGACACUGAGGCGCGACAGCGUGGGGAGCAAACAGG
Molecule: ribosomal RNA, 256 nt
Filed under: uncultured bacterium
Lineage: Bacteria
Description: partial 16S ribosomal RNA
Rfam family: Bacterial small subunit ribosomal RNA
Source: RNAcentral